This 440-nucleotide ribosomal RNA is filed under the name uncultured bacterium. Its description in RNAcentral is "partial 16S ribosomal RNA". It matches the Rfam family "Bacterial small subunit ribosomal RNA", at positions 338 to 795 of the family's 1533-position model. The record is from RNAcentral.
CCUACGGGGGGCAGCAGUGAGGAAUAUUGCACAAUGGGGGAAACCCUGAUGCAGCGACGCCGCGUGAGUGAAGAAGUAAUUCGUGAUGGAAAGCUCUAUCAGCAGGGAAGAAAAUGACGGUACCUGAGUAAGAAGCCCCGGCUAACUACGUGACAACAGCCGCGGUAAUACGUAGGGGGCAAGCGUUAUCCGGAUUUACUGGGUGUAAAGGGAGCGUAGACGGCAGAGCAAGUCUGGAGUGAAAGGCGGGGGCUCAACCCCCGGACUGCUCUGGAAACUGUACGGCUUGAGUGCAGGAGAGGUAAGUGGAAUUCCUAGUGUAGCGGUGAAAUGCGUAGAUAUUAGGAGGAACACCAGUGGCGAAGGCGGCUUACUGGACUGUAACUGACGUUGAGGCUCGAAAGCGUGGGGAGCAAACAGGAUUAGAUACCCGUGUAGUC